RNAcentral lists this ribosomal RNA (212 nucleotides) under uncultured bacterium. RNAcentral's name for it is "partial 16S ribosomal RNA". It matches the Rfam family "Bacterial small subunit ribosomal RNA", at positions 1295 to 1500 of the family's 1533-position model. The record is from RNAcentral.
GGACUGCAGUCUGCAACUCGACUGCACGAAGCUGGAAUCGCUAGUAAUCGCGGAUCAGCACGCCGCGGUGAAUACCGUUCCCGGGCCUUGUACACACCGCCCGUCACACCAUGGAAGUCCGCAAUGCCCGAAGCCGGUGGCCUAAACCACUUAUGUGGAAGGAGCCGUCUAAGGCAGGGCAGAUGACUGGGGUGAAGUCGUAACAAGGUAGC